CCCCGCCUGGAGGGUUAUUAUCCUCUGGAAUUGGAGACGUCUGAGUGUAGAUUUAAUGGCCAAAGCUUUCAACAACGGAUCUCUUGGUUCUAGCGUCGAUGAAGAACGCAGCGAAAUGCGAUAAGUAAUGUGAAUUGCAGAAUUCAGCGAACGAUCGAAUCUUUGAACGCACAUUGCGCCCCUUGGUAUUCCGAGGGGCACGCCUGUUCGAGCGUCAUUGAGAACCUCAAGCCCGGCUUGGUAUUGGGUCCCAUCUCAAUCUGAUGGGCCUGGAACGUCUUGGUGGCUCAAGGCCCCCACCAGUGCAAAGGGAACGACAGUUCAUGCGCAGGUGGUGCCCUCUGCGCGCUCCAUCAAACGGGGUGAUGGCCCCCUAUGGUUUGACCUCGGAUCAGGUGG
This 399-nucleotide ribosomal RNA is filed under the name uncultured fungus. RNAcentral's name for it is "eukaryotic LSU rRNA". The stretch from base 64 to 217 matches the Rfam family "5.8S ribosomal RNA". The record is from RNAcentral. Lineage: Eukaryota; Fungi.